UAAGAUGGCUGAGCGCCAAGCGGUGGAUUGUAGCCCCAUGUACAGAGGUUAAACCCCUCUUCUUAU
RNAcentral lists this transfer RNA (66 nucleotides) under Apricaphanius iberus (Spanish toothcarp). RNAcentral's name for it is "tRNA-Tyr". It matches the Rfam family "tRNA". From Rfam's summary of the family: Transfer RNA (tRNA) molecules are approximately 80 nucleotides in length. Their secondary structure includes four short double-helical elements and three loops (D, anti-codon, and T loops). Further hydrogen bonds mediate the characteristic L-shaped molecular structure. tRNAs have two regions of fundamental functional importance: the anti-codon, which is responsible for specific mRNA codon recognition, and the 3' end, to which the tRNAs corresponding amino acid is attached (by aminoacyl-tRNA synthetases). tRNAs cope with the degeneracy of the genetic code in two manners: having more than one tRNA (with a specific anti-codon) for a particular amino acid; and 'wobble' base-pairing, i.e. permitting non-standard base-pairing at the 3rd anti-codon position. The record is from RNAcentral. Lineage: Eukaryota; Metazoa; Chordata; Actinopteri; Cyprinodontiformes; Aphaniidae.